AAAGCAAAUCUGGGGACGGGUGUUGAUUUUAAAAGAGAAGGAAAGAAGAGCUAGUUGCUCACUGCAGGUUCUCCUGGCUCGGCGGUGCGGAGGCAAAGGCCUGUUUCUGCAAAGACUUUGAGGACCCAUGACUCUUCCUCAACCUCCAGACCGCUGGAGGUCCCUGAUAGUUGAAUAAGCUAAGAGCAGUGUGCCCGCCUAGUUCUUUCCUGGAAGAUGAAACGCAGCUCCCGAGUCGGGAGACGGAAGAAUGGAUAAACAUUCCUCAAUUGCUGUUGAUAGGUUCUCACCCCAGAACCCGGGCAGUCGGCCUCAUGCUCCAGAGUGCAGGUCCCGUAAGGUACCCAAGGGGAGCCGUCAAUUAGAGCCGUGCUUGAGCCUAAGGCUGACCUGAACCGUUUGAAGGCAGAUCUUCCAUGGAGCGCCCCGGUCCUUUUCUGGAAAGGUCAAAGGGACGAGAGGGGUCUCUGCAGUGUCCUGGAUCUGGUUUCAACCUCACCUUCUCCAUGUAUGAGAAAACAAGUCACUUGGAUUCACUGUGCCUCGGUUUCCCCAGAUGGCGAGCAGGACUCAGUCUUUUGGAAACUGAUCUCUUACUAGAACCAAGUCAACAAGAGCUACCCUUGGACUCUAGAUGCCUGGGAGCAUCUGGAGUCGUCGGGCAGAAGGAGAAGGUGGAGCGGGUCUUCCCGGAGGCCGGCUCCCACAGGGGCGGCCAAGGCUCUGGGCCUCUCGGCGUGCCUCUGUGGAUCCUGUUGGAUCCAGAACCGUCUGGAUCACCUGAAGAGUUAUUUGAAACCAGCUGA
Molecule: long non-coding RNA, 806 nt
Filed under: Macaca nemestrina (pig-tailed macaque)
Lineage: Eukaryota; Metazoa; Chordata; Mammalia; Primates; Cercopithecidae
Description: lncRNA (ENSMNEG00000045822.1)
Source: RNAcentral